This 1517-nucleotide long non-coding RNA is filed under the name Homo sapiens (human). Its description in RNAcentral is "HSALNT0209466". Lineage: Eukaryota; Metazoa; Chordata; Mammalia; Primates; Hominidae. The record is from RNAcentral.
CUGGGCAUGAAGACAUUUCUUGUGAAAAACCAGCUUCCAGGCCUCCUUCCUGGGAGGGACUCUGUGAGUGCCACGCCCAGGGCCCUGCAGCAGGUCGUGAGCAGAUGCCUCUAAUGAUUCAAAGCUACCAACAAUACUGUAAGAGGCCCCUUUCCUGCCAAAGACUACGUGGAGAUCCCUUCUGGGUUUUUCUUUUUCUUUUUCUUUCUCUGUGAAGUGUCCUUGAAGGGAGGGGCUCCUGGGAGGGAGAUAAAUAGUCGUAUGAGGCCCUGUCCAGACACUGACACACCAGACAAUCCAGCAACACUGCGGGUCGGAGGACCCUGCUGAACAGGUCGUAGCCAACAGCUCCAGGUGGCUGCAUCCUAGCACCAAAGCCAGGAGACAAGAGCCCUGACUACAGGGGUGCGGAAAGGGGCACUCGCAGCCCCAGGCUUCCAGCCGCCAGAAUCAAGUGCUGGGACUUCCAGCUUCCCCACAGUCAGAGCCUGACUGAAUUCUCAGUCCACAGCUGAGUUAUUUACAGCCUCAGUUUUUCUCUUCUGAAAAAAAGGGGUAUAAACCACAGGAUCCAUCUCAAAGAAGUGCUAUGAGGAAAAAAUGACACAAUGCAUUUAAAGUGCAGAGAAGACACCAGCUACGCUGUGGCAGCAGAGUAUGGCAGCGCCCUUCCAGAACGGCUCUCUAGUGCUGUUAAGUUUCCCCAGCAUCCUGACCAGUCACUACCAAAAUGUGAUUUCCUGCGAACAUUGUCACCCAAGCAGUGUGGUCAGGCAGGCAGAAGCCAGCCUGAAGUUUACAAAUGUCUCUCUUCAGCCAGGGCAGAGCAGGUGAGGCCCUGCGUCACCCGCGCAAGGCUUGUGGUUCAGCCAGGGAGACAACGUCCUACUUCUUUCAGGGUGACCAUGUUCUUCCUGGGCGCUCAUUUCCUCGUGACACCCAUAGGCGGCAGCUUUUCCCUAUGGGGGUCCCUGGCCUUUAGGGCAAGUCCUGCCCUGUCUAGAGCCUUCUCCUCCUGGAGGAGCACACACGAUGGCACCAAGCUGCUCUGACCCUGCCAGGAGCCAAAACAGCCUCUGGGAGCUCCAAGGGGCGCCCCGGGCUCAGGGUCAUCUCCCACACCUUCCCUUCCCAUCCCGAGGCCUGCAGAGCCCUCAAGGGCUCAGUGGCCCUGGCUCAGCUGGACCCCAGCACAGACAGGGAGGCCUCUGACCUGCACCCAGAGCCUGCCUCCCAGGGCUUCCUCACCCCAGUGUCCUAGGAGGGGGUGGCACAGAUGGAGAGAGGCCAGAGGCUGCCACUCAGGAGUAUGUGAGUCAAGGCUUGCUUGGGAGGUAGGGGCAGAGGUGGAGAUGCCCAGGGGGCCAGGAGAAAGGGGAGGAGAGAUUGGGAAAUGAAGCCCUUCUGGGGCUGCCAGCUCCCCUCUACAGCUUUAGGCCAUGCCAGGGGGCCCUGAAGUGAGUCAGCCCCUACAGAAAGCCCAGGCUUUCUGUAGAAAAGAGUUUCGCUUUUUUUUU